CCUGCUUUCCUGACCCUCUCCGCCAUUUAAAGAAACAGUACCGGGGGCGGGCCGAGCGACGCAGCCGGGACGGUAGCUGCGGUGCGGACCGGAGGAGCCAUCUUGUCUCGUCGCCGGGGAGUCAGGCCCCUAACUCGAAGAAGCCCUGGCGCGCCCUCCCCCCCUCCCGGGUCUGGUAGGGCGAAGGAACGGGCGUGCGGUCGAUCGAGCGAUCGGUUGGCGGCUCUUUCUCCUGCUCUGGCAUCCAGCUCUUGGGGCGCAGGCCCGGCCGCCGCGGCGCGCGCCCGGUGGCCGUUGGCGCUCGCGCCGCGUCUUUCUUCUCGUACGCAGAACUCGGGCGGCGGCCUAUGCGUUUGCGAUUCGACGAGGAGUCGUCCGGGUGGUCGGCGGCGGCGGGCAGCUGCUCCGCCCCGCUCCGGGGGAGGCGGCGGCGGCAGCGGCCGCGGGAUUUGGAGCGGCCGGGGAGGCGGGGGUGGCCGGGGCCGGCUUGGAGGCCUGGCGCCACCCUUCGGGGCCUGCAAGGACCCAGUUGGGGGGGCAGGAGGGGGCCGGAGGAUGGUUGGUUGUGGGAUUUCUACUUUGCCUUUUCCUUCUUAUGCCGCCUUAGUGAGGGGCGGGAGCUCUGGCGGCAGCCCCGGGGUGGGGAGACGAGCUCCGGAGUCGGAAGAGGUGGGUUUGCUUCCGGGCCUAGCCACCAGCUGGCGGAGUGACCUUAGGCGAGUCACUCUGUAAUUUUUCUGCGCCUCAGUUUCCUCCUCUGCCUAUCAAUGUGUGUGGGGUUGAAAGCGCUUUGUAAACUCUAAAGCGUGGAUGUACGUAAAGGAUGGUUAUUGUUUGUAUUUUUUUUUUGAGUUGUAAGAAAACUUAGCAGUUCCCCAAUCCUUGGGUUUUGAACCUGGAAACCUUGGAUUGGAGUUGGGGAUCCCCAAACUCCCUGAAAUUGUGGGAAUGUGUGGUUUGGGGGAAUGAUGGGAAUUUGUGGGAAUGUGCGUUUUAGGGGAAUGAUGAUCCAUCGCUAGCAAGUUUUCCAAGGGGGCUGUGACCCAGAAGAGUUAAAAAUCACAAUUUCUUUAUGCUACAGAGAGGAAACUGAGGCCUAGAUGUCAUUUGGGACCCUUCACAACCAAUUUGAAGCCCCUGUUUGAGUCCCUGGGAUAUGUGAGCUGUUUCUAUGCAUAAUGGAUAUUCGGGGUAACAACAGUCCCCUGCUUAGCUUCUAUUCUGAAUCCUUUUCUUUCACCAUGGGGUGCCUGAAGGGUGGCUGAUGCAUAUGGUACAAUGGCACCCAGUGUAAAGCAGCUGCAAUUAGGAGUGGAUGUGUUCUGUAGCAUCCUAUUUAAAUAAGCCUAUUUAAUCUUUGGCCCGGCAACUUUUUUCUGCUGCUUGUACCGGUGCCUGACUACCUUUCUGACUCUCAUUGACCAUAUUCCAUGACCAUGGUUGUCAUCCGUUACUUGAUCCUACUUUACGUGUCUAGUCUGUGUGGUUGGUGGUGAAUAGGCUUCUUUUCACAUGGUGCUGCCAAGCCCAGCUAAUUAAUGGUGCACGUGGACUUUUAGCAAGUGGGCUCACUGGAAGAGACUGUACCUGGCAUGGAAUUCCUGAAGAUGUUUGGGGUUUUUUUCUUUCUUAAUCGAAGGUUAACAUUCUCUGAAAAGUUUUGUUAGAACUACUGCGGAACCUCAAAAUCAGUAGAUUUGGAAGUGAUUCAAAGCUUAACUUUUUAACCUUGGCCCUCCUUGUGUUCUAAUUGCUUGCAAGUGUAAUACUAAGAUGUCCAAGAUGCUAGUUUUUGCUUCUUUGUUAAUUGUCAGCUGCUUUUAUCAAAUUUUAGGCCAUUAUCCAACAAACACUAUAAAAAUGUUUGAACAAUUGGAUUUCAAACAUUUUCGUUUUGUGGAGUGGUGCUCACCGAGUGGUACAGCCCUAAGCAAGUGAACACAAACACAUUUAAGUGUAUUUUGUCUGAUUAGAUGUUAGCCGGUUAUGCUAUUUCAUUCAAAUGUCUGAAAAAAUCAAUUGACUAUUCCCUUUUCCUAAAGGGCAGAGACAAAUAAUCUCACUUCCAGAGAAAUGACUGUUUUGGAGGAAAAAAGUGUUGGUCUUUUUGCUCUUUUGUAAUUAAAUCUGGAUGUACCUCAAAAAACUCUUAAGACUGUGGUGAUAAGAUGCUUUCCUCAGCAGAAAGGAGGAAAAAAAACAACUGGAACUCAAAGCUUGAAAUUCUGUGGCAAAACAUGAGAUGUCCAGGAUUGGAGGUUGAAAAGAUUUCACUACAGUGUUCUACAAUAGUUGGAGCAGAUAACUUUCAGUGUAGCCACAGCCGUGGACUCCAGAUUUCCAGAUUUUCAAGAACUGGACUUGGAACCCGAAAGAGCUUAUCGGGAUGUGGCAGGAACACUGGAGGUAGAUAUUUUUUUUAUUUUUGAAUUUUGGGACUGUUGACCUUGCUGUGAGAAAAGAGACAACGACUGAGCAAGCACUACCACCAGCACUGUUACUGGGAAUUAGAAGACCUGAGUUUCUGUCCAGACCCUCAGUGGAAACUGAGGACACUCCAUCCAAAGUGAAUUAUGUCCUGUGCCUCCUGAUUGCUGAGUGUUCACCUGGACCUUCUGACUACCUUCCCUGUGCUAUUCCAUCAGCCUACAGACCUGGUACCUGGAUUUUUGCCCAAGAUGAUUCCUACCACCUUACUACUGAAGAAGACACCCAUUCCAGUGGACCACUGUGACCCAGGAGGCAUUCAGCCAUCAUGAUGUGGCCUUUACCUCCACUCCUGUCCUGUUCUACCCAGAUUCAGCACAGCCCUUUAUAGUGAAGUCAGAGUCCUCAAGCCAAAUAGCUAAAGCUGUUUUAUCACAACAAAGGCCUAGUUUGUUCCAUGAGUGUGCAUUUCAUUUCUUCAGUUAAAGCCUUCAGAGACACAUAAUAAAUUUGGACCAGGGGAUUUUUUAGUUAUUAAUGCUCUCUGAAGAAAGGGAACAUCUUUUUGAGAGCAGCAUUGGACCAUACCCCACAAUCUCAAAUGAUUGAAAUUCAUGAACAUCUAGGAUCCCAUGAAGGUCACUGGACCCUGUUUUUUCUACUUCAAAUCCUGUAGUAGCCUACUGAAUGAGAAAACAUAUUCUGACCCAUUGGGAUCAAAUCAAAGGCACAGUGAACUCCUCAUAGCAUCUUCUUUGGAAUUACUCAGGAACCAGAACUUUUUACACAAAUGUAAGAAAUUCUACCAAGGAGUCCCCUUACCUAAGCAUCUCACAAGGCUGCAUCAGAUUCCAGAAAAGGCUUCUCUUGAUACAUCAAGGUAGAACCUCUAUGCAUUUUGUGACCGACAUAUUCUUAGAUCAUUGGUUUUCCAAAGGCUUUGUGGCCAUGAAGCCCUUUGAGUGAAAACUGCAGAAGCCCAGAGUAAAAGUGAAGCUGCUCUGGAUGAAGCAGUGAAGCAAGAGUAGGGGCCUGAAGCCUGCUACAACUAUCUAUCUUCCUUUACCACCGUGGUGACACCUAAGGGGACUUCCUUACAACAGCUUGAACUCUCCAGAACACAGUUUGAAAACCACUGCCCCAGACAGCAAUAUGUUUGACCUGAAUGGCAUUCCAAUCUUUUCUGUACCUCCACUCAGCACAGUUCAUGUUCAGUUGAUGCUGAACAUUCUUAGAAAUACUGUGUGUGAACUUAGAAAAGUGCAAGAAGACAGGCAUGUCUUUGACCCCAGGAAUGAUCAUGGGCUGAAAGUGGUGUCAAGUGAACCUAGAUUAACAGCCCUCCACUCCAGAUGGAUAUCCAGUGAUUCCUAGAAUGGGAUAUAGCCAGAGAACAAUUCUAUGCACCCUACACUGACAGACUCCCUUAAGCAACUUCUUUCACAAACACCAGAUGCUCUACUGGUACUUGAAGUACAUGACUUUGAAGUCUUGACCCUCCAUGGAUACCUGAAUUGCCAGCAAGCGGGUUUUGAAGCUGGUGCCUCAUUGAGGGCAUAUUAGAGCAACUUGUACAUUUGACCUCUUGUUGUCAGCCAUGGUACUCUACUUCGUGUACAAGAGAUAACUAUGAAAGCCGAAUUCAAAUACUGGCAACAUUUCCUAAAGGGGCUCAAUAUCUAUCAUCAUCUUUUCCAAACUACACAUCACUGUAUGACUCAACCAGUAGCAGUUAUAUUGCCCCUUGGUUUUUAUUCAGUUUAACUACUGUUUCCAAGAUAAAUGAGCUAAUAACCUUAAAAAAAAAAAAAAAAAACAAUUAUUUUUUCUUCAUCACUGGCAUAUCUGCCUAUUCUCCAGAAUUUUUAUGACUACUCAGCUCACUUUUAACAGUUGAUCUUCAAGAGACAAUCUUUGAACACCCCCCCCCCCCAUGUGAUUUAAAGUGAAACCAUUUGGAAAAGUUUCUUCUAGCCAAUAAUAGAUUUUUUUUAAUUGCUCUGCCUUGUGCCGAGAGAUGUUCUUUUAAGAUGAAUCUUUUGAUGUCUGAUACCACCAACUGUAGGUGGUAGGGAUAGUUGGAGGCUGGCCCUUUGAGCAGGCCAUGAUAGCUUACUUGCUGGGCAUUUCAGAUAGCUUAUUGCCUACCCUUUUGCUGGAAACAGACUGAUUUGAAAAACAAAAUCUAUGAAGACUGCAGCUAAGGAUUUUAUCAGUAGACUUAAGAGCUUUUGUCCUUGUGGAUAUUUUAGUGGAACCACAACAGUCUUAAUACUGUCAUUUUACACUGACUCAGAGCAGCUGACGUCAUUCCUUGCCAUGAUAUAUAUUUAAGGCAGGCAUUGUAACAGACAUUAAGACAACUUAUCUGUUUCAGCAGGAAGGAUUCAGUUUAUGGACUCUCAGACCGGAUCAUGUUGAACAAGGAGAUUUUGAUAUGUGUCAUGAGAAAACUCAUCCUUUACUUCCCAGUCAAUUUAAAGGCCAGCUAUCCUGAGCUACUCGAAUGAAUGCACUGGUUAAACAUUGGGGAUAGUUUAUAUCCUCUCUCUCUAGGCCAGUUGUGAUUACAUGACUCCACUCUAUAUCUUGUCAAACAAGGCCUAAGUCUGGUUGCUGUAGACUGCUCACCCUCAACAAAUAAAAUCUGGAUGACUAGCCUGCUUGUAUAUACAAAUAUUAUUUGUUAAGAAGAAAUUAUCUUCAAUUUUCUACUAUCUUCAAAUUGUCAGCUUUUUUCCUCUCUCAUUUUUCCUAUGCUUUACAGAAAAAGACAUUGAUCUAUACUGCCAAUCCCUCUAAUCCUGCCAACUCAUUCAAAAUGAAUGACUUAAGAUGAAGAUGAUCAUCUGCUCAAGAGUCUAAAAUAUACAUUGUAUAUAAGAAUUGGUGAUUAGAAAAGCAAAAAACCUAAAACUUAAACCUAGGAGUUUGCCUACUAUCUCCAUGUCUCCAUGCUUCAGAUCUCAUCUGAAUCUUUGAACAGCACCAUUCAACCAAUCUGAGGCCUUGGCUUGCUUGUAAGAUGAUUCUCAGAGAUCGGCUGAGUUAAAAAAGAUGACGACUUGAUUACCAAAGAAAGUAGGGCCAACUUUGACAAACCUGGCUCUGCUGACCCUGUCAUUCCCAGAUGUAGCAUAGACUCCUAAACAGAACCUCAAGUCUGAUUGAGGAUAAGGCCUUCUCCUGAGCUGAAAGUUCUUUGGCAGAUGAGCAAGAAACUGAAAGCUGAUAUACCUGACUGGCUCUGUAAGAUCAGAAAACUGUAUCCAGAAUAAGCCCUAUGGAUUAACCCCUGAGUACCCAGGGUAAAAACUAAUUUACAGAGCUUCCUUGUUGAUCUGCCUGUUCUUCCAGAUCAUAUUCUGGCUAUUGGUAUGGCUGGCCUUUCUGAAGCUGCCCUGCUUGUCUAUUUUCGUGACUCAGCUCUUGCCUGCCCUUUUCACAUGUUGCUGCAGUUAGACUCACUGACCUUGAGAAGACUACAGCCAAUUUUAGUCUAUCUUGUGCCCAAUACAACAAGGAUUUUUAAUAGAAACAACCCACACCUCACCUGCUAGGACUCAGUGUUCACAACAGGAAGGACCAUGUUGUAUACUACUUGACCAGCAGCUUUUUUAAAGAUAUUUUUAAGUGCAGAGUUAGCCUCUAUUCCUGUAUGUAUUUGAUCAUUUUCAGCACCUGGAACCUCAUCUAUCAGGUCUAGAAGGAAUACAGCAGAUCGAAAGCUGUGUCCAUUUCUCUUCUUCAGUAGUACAGAAAUAAGUCUGAUUCACCAGUACACACAGAACUGUACCAGUUCAGCCUGGCAAAAGAACAGUUUCUACUGUACUUAAAAUUUACCACCGACUCAAAUUGCCUCACAGAAUUAUUUGAUAUAGGAGGCUAGUUGUCUUGCUUCACAUCAGCAGGACAGUUGGACUCUCAGACUCAUGACCACUGAGUUUACUUGUAUUGAAACUGUGGUUUCAUCUGAAGUAUGCUAUUGGACUUGAUUAUUAUCUCAUUCAAAUGGAUUACAGACUUACUGAGGACAGGACAAACUUAUCUCUCAUGGUGUUUUUUUAGAAUACUUUUAUAACCAAGGAAGAAACCAUGCCAGCUGUUACCAUUCAACUUCUUAAGCAGAGAUUAAGCUUUUUCAUAUGUGUUCUUAUCCUAGACAUUUUCAUAUCUGUUCUUAUCCUGGACAUCAGUAGUUUUUAAUUGCCCAGCAUCCGUUCCAUCUCAUUGUAACAACUCCCUGAUGUUUCUUAAAACCACCUCUUCCUAUUUUCAGUCUGUGGUUUGGACAGUCUGACCCAACCUUGAGCUUUGUGGGUGGACGUGUAAUUCAGACCUCAUCAAUCAGCAAAUCCAUCUGAACUGUGGAGGAGAAGCUCUCUUUACUGAGGUGCUUUAGCUUUGUAGGAUGAAAACCUCAAACCAACAGGGCCUGCCAUGUAGAGAAUGAAGCCAGUGCAGGGGAAAGUAGAGCCAAAAUAUGGAGAGACUUGAAUCCUGAUGACAACGUUUGUGCCCCUGGAUCCAACCGUGCCUGAAGCUAGUAUAUCCCCUGGACUUUUCAGUUAUGUGAACCAAUAAAUACCCUUUUUUGCUUAAGUUA
Molecule: non-coding RNA, 7033 nt
Organism: Macaca mulatta (Rhesus monkey)
Lineage: Eukaryota; Metazoa; Chordata; Mammalia; Primates; Cercopithecidae
Source: RefSeq, a predicted model, not a curated record